This 250-nucleotide ribosomal RNA is filed under the name uncultured Methylocella sp. RNAcentral's name for it is "partial 16S ribosomal RNA". It matches the Rfam family "Bacterial small subunit ribosomal RNA", at positions 227 to 491 of the family's 1533-position model. Lineage: Bacteria; Pseudomonadati; Pseudomonadota; Alphaproteobacteria; Hyphomicrobiales; Beijerinckiaceae. The record is from RNAcentral.
GCGCCCGCGGCCCAUCAGCUAGUUGGCGGGGUAAUGGCCCACCAAGGCAACGACGGGUAGCUGGUCUGAGAUGACGAUCAGCCACACUGGAACUGAGACACGGUCCAUACUCCUACGGGAGGCAGCAGUGGGGAAUAUUGGACAAUGGGCGAAAGCCUGAUCCAGCAAUGCCGCGUGAGUGAUGAAGGCCUUAGGGUUGUAAAGCUCUUUUGCCAGGGAAGAAUAAAAUGACGGUACCUGGUGAAUAAGC